UGGCGGACGGGUGAGUAACGCGUGGAUAACCUGCCUCACACUGGGGGAUAACAGUUAGAAAUGGCUGCUAAUACCGCAUAAGCGCACAGUACCGCAUGGUACGGUGUGAAAAACUCCGGUGGUAUGAGAUGGACCCGCGUCUGAUUAGGUAGUUGGUGGGGUAACGGCCUACCAAGCCGACGAUCAGUAGCCGACCUGAGAGGGUGACCGGCCACAUUGGGACUGAGACACGGUCCAA
Molecule: ribosomal RNA, 238 nt
Filed under: uncultured bacterium
Lineage: Bacteria
Description: partial 16S ribosomal RNA
Rfam family: Bacterial small subunit ribosomal RNA
Source: RNAcentral